GGUGAACGCUGGCGGCGUGCUUAACACAUGCAAGUCGAACGAAGCACUUUAUUUUAUUUCCUUCGGGACUGAUUAUUUUGUGACUGAGUGGCGGACGGGUGAGUAACGCGUGGGUAACCUGCCUUGUACAGGGGGAUAACCGUUGGAAACGGCUGCUAAUACCGCAUAAGCGCACAGCAUCGCAUGAUGCAGUGUGAAAAACUGCGGUGGUAUAAGAUGGACCCGCGUUGGAUUAGCUAGGUGGUGGGGUUACGGCCCACCAAGACGACGAUCCAUAGCCGACCUGGGAGCGUGACCGGCCACCAUGGGACUGAGACACGGCCCAAACUCCUACGGGAGGCAGCAGUGGGGAAUAUUGCACAAUGGGCGAAAGCCUGAUGCAGCGACGCCGCGUGAACGAAGAAGUAUUUCGGGAUGUAAAGCUCUAUCAGCAGGGAAGAUAAUGACGUUACCUGACGAAGAAGGACCGGCUAAGUACGUG
Molecule: ribosomal RNA, 481 nt
Filed under: uncultured bacterium
Lineage: Bacteria
Description: partial 16S ribosomal RNA
Rfam family: Bacterial small subunit ribosomal RNA
Source: RNAcentral